Molecule: small nucleolar RNA, 137 nt
Organism: Tachyglossus aculeatus (Australian echidna)
Lineage: Eukaryota; Metazoa; Chordata; Mammalia; Monotremata; Tachyglossidae
Source: RefSeq, a predicted model, not a curated record
CCCCUCUCAGGGUUGUACCUGGAGAGUUUCCAGUACUCUGUCAGUCUUGGGUAUGGGAGGGAGAAUCAAGCAGAGGCUUACCCAUUCCACUCCUAGCUUGGGCAGUGGCUUGUGAGUGGAGGCAUUCUGCUACAAGU